This 253-nucleotide ribosomal RNA is filed under the name uncultured bacterium. RNAcentral describes it as "partial 16S ribosomal RNA". It matches the Rfam family "Bacterial small subunit ribosomal RNA", at positions 524 to 776 of the family's 1533-position model. The record is from RNAcentral.
UACGGAGGGGGCUAGCGUUGCUCGGAAUCACUGGGCGUAAAGCGCGCGUAGGCGGCUUGCUAAGUCAGGGGUGAAAUCCUGGAGCUCAACUCCAGAACUGCCUUUGAUACUGGCGAUCUUGAGUCCGGGAGAGGUGAGUGGAACUGCGAGUGUAGAGGUGAAAUUCGUAGAUAUUCGCAAGAACACCAGUGGCGAAGGCGGCUCACUGGCCCGGUACUGACGCUGAGGUGCGAAAGCGUGGGGAGCAAACAGG